RNAcentral lists this ribosomal RNA (253 nucleotides) under uncultured bacterium. Its description in RNAcentral is "partial 16S ribosomal RNA". It matches the Rfam family "Bacterial small subunit ribosomal RNA", at positions 524 to 776 of the family's 1533-position model. The record is from RNAcentral.
UACGGGGGGGGCAAGCGUUGUUCGGAAUUACUGGGCGUAAAGGGUUCGUAGGUGGCUUGCUUAGUCAGACGUGAAAUCCCUCGGCUUAACCGGGGAACUGCGCUUGUUACUGGCAGGCUUGAGUGUGGCAGAGGGGGGUGGAAUUCCACGUGUAGCAGUGAAAUGCGUAGAGAUGUGGAGGAACACCGAUGGCGAAGGCAGCCCCCUGGGCUAACACUGACGCUCAGGCACGAAAGCGUGGGGAGCAAACAGG